This 354-nucleotide unclassified non-coding RNA is filed under the name soil metagenome. Its description in RNAcentral is "partial contains 5.8S ribosomal RNA, internal transcribed spacer 2, and large subunit ribosomal RNA". The stretch from base 1 to 120 matches the Rfam family "5.8S ribosomal RNA", at positions 35 to 154 of the family's 154-position model. The record is from RNAcentral.
GAUGAAGAACGUAGCGAAAUGCGAUAAGUAAUGUGAAUUGCAGAAUUCAGUGAAUCAUCAAAUCUUUGAACGCACAUUGCGCCCCCUGGCAUUCCGGGGGGCAUGCCUGUCCGAGCGUCAUUUCUGCCCUCCAGCCCGGCUGGGUGUUGGGCGCUGUCCCCCCGGGGACACGCCCCAAAGGCAGUGGCGGCGCCGCGUCGGGUCCUCGAGCGUAUGGGGCUUUGUCACCCGCUCGGGACGGACUCGUCGGCGCUGGUCUUCCUCCAGGCGACCCUUCGGGGCUCGUCUUCCUUCGGUUGACCUCGGAUCAGGUAGGGUUACCCGCUGAACUUAAGCAUAUCAAUAAGCGGAGGA